AUUUUAUAUAAUAUUAAAAUGGAUUUGUUUUAAUUAUCAGCGUGAGAUGUAUUCUUGAAGUACUGAAUAAGUAAUUACGCAAGUCGCGGCAUCCAACUGUCCAGAGAAAUUGGACCAUUCUUUUACGUUUACCAAAAUAAACAGUCACUUAACGCUGACAUGCUUUUGUAUAUGCUGCUUUUGUGACAAAGCGACGAACGUAUGAUAGUGUUUUCCUGCAGUCCUGCGGGUCCAGAUCCGCAGAUCGACGAUAACACCUGCCUGUGUGGCGUACCGCACAUGCCCCUCCCCUUCCGGGUAAGACGCCCGUAACCGUACGAUGGCAAUUACGAUAUCAGCCAGCUCAUUAUCAUAAUCAUACUCACAUCUUUUUCCUUUUCUCUGCAAUGUCACCGUCGUUCGUCGACUUUUUCGUGUCGCCGGCGAUCAAGCUAAAAGACUAAAAAAUCAUUCUUUCUCCAUAGUGGCCUUAUCAUAAUGAGGGAGUAGGGAAACGGAGGGGAAAAAUCAAAUGUUGGGAGGGGGUACGGCCGUCCCUGGGAGUAAGCAGCAGGACCCGUCGUUGCGUCCUCUGGCGGGCAGCAGUAUGUGGAAUACAUGCUUGAAUGUGCGGUAACGUAUUGUGUGGCGUGAAAUGUAUCGUAAUUUCUAACGAUUUCUACAUUGGCCGAUAUUAUUAUUAUUUAUUAUCAUUUUAUUUACGUAUAUACUUCUUAUGUUUAUGAUUUUUAAUUCAUCAGACGCGAGACGAUUUUUGUCUCGUCGUCAGUACUAUAUUAUCCUUCUUUAUA
Molecule: long non-coding RNA, 791 nt
Organism: Rhopalosiphum padi (bird cherry-oat aphid)
Lineage: Eukaryota; Metazoa; Arthropoda; Insecta; Hemiptera; Aphididae
Exons: 4
Source: RefSeq, a predicted model, not a curated record